RNAcentral lists this ribosomal RNA (254 nucleotides) under uncultured bacterium. RNAcentral describes it as "partial 16S ribosomal RNA". It matches the Rfam family "Bacterial small subunit ribosomal RNA", at positions 524 to 776 of the family's 1533-position model. The record is from RNAcentral.
CACGUAGGGACCAAGCGUUGUCCGGCUUCAUUGGGCGUAAAGAGCUCGUAGGCGGUUCGAUAAGUCGGGGGUGAAACCUCCAGGCUCAACCUGGAGACGCCACCCGAUACUGUCGUGACUAGAGUCCAGUAGGGGAGCGUGGAAUUCCUGGUGUAGCGGUGAAAUGCGCAGAUAUCAGGAGGAACACCAGCGGCGAAGGCGGUUCUCUGGGCCUGUACUGACGCUGAGGAGCGAAAGCGUGGGGAGCGAACAGG